Molecule: ribosomal RNA, 447 nt
Filed under: uncultured bacterium
Lineage: Bacteria
Description: partial 16S ribosomal RNA
Rfam family: Bacterial small subunit ribosomal RNA
Source: RNAcentral
AGCGAACAUUGGCGGUAGGCUUAACACAUGCAAGUCGAGCGAGGCUACGAGCCGAGCGGCGAACGGGUGAGUAAUACGUUGAAAUCUACCCUGGAGUGGGGAAUAACCAGCAGAAAUGCUGGCUAAUGCCGCAUAAUCCAUAUUGGAAAGCGCUUAGCGCUCUAGGAUGAGUCAACGGCCGAUUAGCUAGUUGGUGGGGUAACGGCCCACCAAGGCGACGAUCGGUAGCUGGUCUGAGAGGAUGAUCAGCCACACUGGAACUGAGACACGGUCCAGACUCCUACGGGAGGCAGCAGUGGGGAAUCUUGCGCAAUGGGGGCAACCCUGACGCAGCCAUACCGCGUGCGCGAUGACGGCCCUCGGGUUGUAAAGCGCUUUUGGCGGGGACGAUGAUGACGGUACCCGCAGAAUAAGUCACGGCUAACUUCGUGCCAGCCGCCGCUGUAA